GGCAGUGGUGGCUCAGUGGCUUAGGUUUUGGCUACUAGUCAGACGAUCGUGAGUUCAAAUCUCAACAUUGCCA
Molecule: non-coding RNA, 73 nt
Organism: Pangasianodon gigas (Mekong giant catfish)
Lineage: Eukaryota; Metazoa; Chordata; Actinopteri; Siluriformes; Pangasiidae
Source: the annotation of a GenBank genome assembly